This 240-nucleotide unclassified non-coding RNA is filed under the name soil metagenome. RNAcentral describes it as "partial contains 5.8S ribosomal RNA, internal transcribed spacer 2, and large subunit ribosomal RNA". The record is from RNAcentral.
AACUGAUACUACCUGCGGGAACCUGCGGAGGGAUCAUUAUUGAAUACUCUCGAUGGGUUGUCGCUGGCCUCUCGGGGCAUGUGCACGCCUGUCUUGACUUUAUUCAUCCACCUGUGCACCUAGUGUAGUCUUUGUUUUUGAGGGUAUUGAGGAAGCGACUUCUGCUCGGUUGUAAAAGACCGGAUUUGAGGAUUGCCUCUGGGCUCUUCUCUGCUUUACGGAGGUUGUGGAACCGCUGCC